This is a long non-coding RNA of Nanorana parkeri, 135 nucleotides long. RefSeq lists it as uncharacterized. The record is from RefSeq and is a predicted model, not a curated record. The transcript has 3 exons. Lineage: Eukaryota; Metazoa; Chordata; Amphibia; Anura; Dicroglossidae.
AGACAGAUCUUUUUAUAGCACAGAGCUUAGCCCCGGCCACAGUAUAUAACACUGAAUUUUAAUCUUAUGGUGCAUUUUUGAUUACAGGAGUAAAUUUCAAAAUGUAACCCUGUAUCAUAAGGAAAAUAAAAAUGC